AACGCACAUUGCGCCCCUUGGUAUUCCGGGGGGCAUGCCUGUUCGAGCGUCAUUUCAACCCUCAAGCUCUGCUUGGUAUUGGGCUCCGUCCUCAGGGACGCGCCUCAAAGACCUCGGCGGUGGCGUCUUGCCUCAAGCGUAGUAGAAAACACCUCGCUUUGGAGCGCAUGGCGUCGCCCGCCGGACGAACCUUUGAAUUUUUCUCAAGGUUGACCUCGGAUCAGGUAGGGAUACCCGCUGAACUUAA
Molecule: unclassified non-coding RNA, 247 nt
Filed under: uncultured Dothiorella
Lineage: Eukaryota; Fungi; Ascomycota; Dothideomycetes; Botryosphaeriales; Botryosphaeriaceae
Description: sequence contains ITS2
Source: RNAcentral